GUACACUCCUGCGGGAGGCAGCAGUGGGGAAUAUUGCACAAUGGGCGCAAGCCUGAUGCAGCCAUGCCGCGUGUAUGAAGAAGGCCUUCGGGUUGUAAAGUACUUUCAGCGGGGAGGAAGGCGAUAAGGUUAAUAACCUUGUCGAUUGACGUUACCCGCAGAAGAAGCACCGGCUAACUCCGUGCCAGCAGCCGCGGUAAUACGGAGGGUGCAAGCGUUAAUCGGAAUUACUGGGCGUAAAGCGCACGCAGGCGGUCUGUCAAGUCGGAUGUGAAAUCCCCGGGCUCAACCUGGGAACUGCAUUCGAAACUGGCAGGCUAGAGUCUUGUAGAGGGGAGUAGAAUUCCAGGUGUAGCGGUGAAAUGCGUAGAGAUCUGGAGGAAUACCGGUGGCGAAGGCGGCCCCCUGGACAAAGACUGACGCUCAGGUGCGAAAGCGUGGGGAGCAAACAGGAUUAGAUACCCGUGUAGUCCCAUGA
Molecule: ribosomal RNA, 478 nt
Filed under: uncultured organism
Description: partial 16S ribosomal RNA
Rfam family: Bacterial small subunit ribosomal RNA
Source: RNAcentral